AUCCGAUUUUGCGCCAUGGUGCGUUUUGUUUUGUUUUCGCCUUGGCCAUGGUUCGGGCAAGGUACCAAUUAUAUCAAUAUAAAACACGUUCGGGUUCAUUUCGUUUCGGUUCAUUUUCGGGAUACAUGUCUGAAAAUGGCUGAUAUUAAGCUUUGCCCAUGCAGCAAGGACAGCUCGACUAUUUUCUGCAAUCUUACGGAGCUGCUUCCUACGAACUACGACUACCGCGAACUACCGCGACUACGAACUACGACUACGACUACGACUACGACUUCCGAAGGAGAGGGAUGUAUCGACGGCGACCAGGGACCGUCUUCUGGAGCUGUUCCGGAUGGGCUACUCGGCUGAGCAGGCGCGAGACGAGCUCAUCUCAGCUCCGCAAGAGGA
Molecule: long non-coding RNA, 387 nt
Organism: Amphibalanus amphitrite
Lineage: Eukaryota; Metazoa; Arthropoda; Thecostraca; Balanomorpha; Balanidae
Exons: 3
Source: RefSeq, a predicted model, not a curated record